GUCUCAGUUUCCAAAGGCCCAAGAACAAGGAGCUCCAAUGUUCGGGAUGCAAUGGCAGUACCCUCUGACUAGCACACUUUCUGUGGAUGUGGGAGAUUAUGUCUUAAUUCACAGAAAAAAGAAGCCUUUAAGACAGGGAUUGAACUCAGGACCUUGCACUUGUGAACCAGGUGGUGGACCUAUUCUUGAAUUCAUAUUGAAGUGUUUACAGACUGUAACAGGAGGCUGGAGGAGACAGGGGCAGUGCUGCUGCUUCAGGGAGUUAUCAUGGCAGGAGGAUGAUAUCCUGUGACUUGUUACACUUCUAGAAUAUCUUUGUGAGCUAUUACAUACAGAUGUCCUGAGCAAGACAACCAUGGGAGGGCUGACUUCUCAUGAAAUCUUCAACAUGCUCAAGAUUUAUGGGCCGUGAGUCUGAAGGCAGGAAUACAAAUCUUAUGACUCCAGUUAUGAAUGUAAGACAAUACCAAAUAACCCUUCUCUGCUGUGUUUGCAGGCUCAGAAGGGUGGCGGGGUUUGAGUUGUAAAGUCCUCAGCCUCCCAUUUGGGAAAGUAUGGAAAAUCACUUAAUGUCUCCACCCUGCACUGUCUCCUAGGAUGUUUCCAACUAAUGCACACGAGGAAACAGGGACAACAAAUAAAACAUACAGGCUCAGGAAUCCAAUACCUCCACUUGGAAGUUUUCUGUCCUUUGUACAUCAGAAGAUUUAUACUGCACAUGUAAAGGAACCACAUUGGAAGUGUUACCCAGUGAUAAUUUUGCAAUUUCUGUUUGAGGACUCCAGGUCUCCUAGACAUUGUGCAGGCACAAGCACUAUGAUCCCAAACAGCUGGGCGAACCUAAAUAUUAUGAGGCGUGUCUCUGAGUAAGCAUUAUUUUUAACAUAUUUUGCUUCUGGCCAUCACAAAUUGAGCAGCUUUGCUCUAUCAUGCCCUUUCACCAUGACAUUCCUGCCUUAAAUCCAGUUGACCAUGGACUGAACCCUCUGAGCUGUGAGCCAAAUUAAACAUCUCCUUAUUUAAGUUGUGAGUGUCUGCUACUCUGUCCUGGCAAUAGAAAAGCUGAUCAAUGCACAUAUUAAUCUUUACCUAUGCUUACUUAACUGAAAAUGUGAAUUAAGUAUACUAUACUACAUUCUUUUCAUAAAGCAUUUCUGGUAGAUCCUAAAACAUGUUAUAUUUCAUUUUAGGUAUACUUCUCUAUUGUGAAUGAAGACAUUUUUUAGGGAGGAAAAUAGAGAGGCC
Molecule: long non-coding RNA, 1245 nt
Organism: Heterocephalus glaber (naked mole-rat)
Lineage: Eukaryota; Metazoa; Chordata; Mammalia; Rodentia; Bathyergidae
Source: Ensembl